GCAUGGCCUUGAAUUUGUGGAAGGAUGUGAUAUGUUGUCCUUUCAUAGUGUACUCCAUGCGACAGCAAAACAUACUCCGAACCAUUGAGUGACCUUGCUCACGUAGGUCAUGUCACUGAAGAGGGUAGCACAUUG
Molecule: small nucleolar RNA, 135 nt
Filed under: Lepisosteus oculatus (spotted gar)
Lineage: Eukaryota; Metazoa; Chordata; Actinopteri; Semionotiformes; Lepisosteidae
Description: Small nucleolar RNA SNORA42/SNORA80 family (ENSLOCG00000019537.1)
Source: RNAcentral